CCCCCAGACUCCUACGGGAGGCAGCAGUGAGGAAUAUUGCACAAUGGGGGAAACCCUGAUGCAGCAACGCCGCGUGAGUGAAGAAGUAUUUCGGUAUGUAAAGCUCUAUCAGCAGGGAAGAAAAUGACGGUACCUGAGUAAGAAGCCCCGGCUAACUACGUGCCAGCAGCCGCGGUAAUACGUAGGGGGCAAGCGUUAUCCGGAUUUACUGGGUGUAAAGGGAGCGUAGACGGCGAUACAAGUCUGAAGUGAAAGCCCGGGGCUCAACCCCGGGACUGCUUUGGAAACUGUGUUGCUGGAGUGCUGGAGAGGCAAGCGGAAUUUCUAGUGUAGCGGUGAAAUGCGUAGAUAUCAGGAGGAACACCGGCGGCGAAGGCGGCCUGCUGGACCGUGACUGACGUUGAGGCUCGAGAGCGUGGGGAGCAAACAGGAUUAGAUACCCUUGUAUU
This 449-nucleotide ribosomal RNA is filed under the name uncultured bacterium. RNAcentral's name for it is "bacterial SSU rRNA". It matches the Rfam family "Bacterial small subunit ribosomal RNA", at positions 328 to 794 of the family's 1533-position model. The record is from RNAcentral.